Molecule: long non-coding RNA, 1613 nt
Organism: Spinacia oleracea (spinach)
Lineage: Eukaryota; Viridiplantae; Streptophyta; Magnoliopsida; Caryophyllales; Amaranthaceae
Exons: 4
Source: RefSeq, a predicted model, not a curated record
UAAAUAUUGCAAAAAAAAUCGAGUAAAUUAUGAAAAAGAAAACAAGUACUUUCUCUCUCCUCACGAGUUACCUUCAACACUUCUCUCUUCACCAUGUUUGCUCUCCUUCGUGAUUCUCUCUGCUCACCGUCACCACCACUGGUGCAACCACCGCGCCGCCACUAUCUCUCACGCUGCCAUCUUCCACCCGUCGUCUCCUAUGCUGCAAUUUGUGAAAUUUCUUUUAUUUUUAUUUUCUCCUCUCCUGCGAUUCAGCGAGCCAUCUUUCACCCCCAUUUCGGAGAUCUAUUGCCCAGUUGCUUUGAUUGAUCUUCGAUUUUCCAUGUUAGGUUGCAAUUUCUGCGACUUGGCUAUUUUGUGACGUAAUUCCCGCGCUUAUGGGAUGUGUCCACAGUAUUUCCAAGUUUUGUUGAAAAUAAGAUAAUGUUGCUCUGAAGAUAUUUAAUCUGCCUUCGAAAAGGUGUUUCCAAGGGAGUCAGGGAGUCCAAAAUGUGUUUACCUGUGGACAAUUUGGAAUGCUUAGCCGUUUUUAGUAGUCUAACUGCAAUGAUAAAUCGCGUUGAAGCUUGGAACAUCACCAACAAAUAAAGCAUCGUGUUGAGAUUUAUUCCCAGCACAGCUUUUGUUCAAAAUUUUGCGAGGCGCCUAUAUAUUUCAUCAACCUAAUUACUGUAUGAAUAUCAACUUCAAAUUACAAUUCAGAAAAUUAUAUGUUCAGAUAAUUCGUAAUUACAGUAUUAACCACUUUACUCGGCUGUUUGUCAACAGUUAUCGGCUGGGAGGAUUAUUUGUCCUAAAAGGGUGCAUCCCUUGUUGAAAUGUUACAACUGUUAACAUAUACAACAUACCUUUCAAAAUUAUUUUCCUGCAAUGUCAUGUUUGCUUGAAUCUUAUUUGAUCCUUAUUUGUAUAUAUAUAUUAUAUAGGUCACCUUUGGUGUCCUGUUUCAUGAUGAUCUUUGCUCAAACAUACUUGAAGCUGUCGUUGGAACACUAAAUGGUGCAAAGAAGAGGAAGAUUUUGAUAUAUGACGGAGAGUUUCUUCUACAAGGUGUCGAUGACAAUGUAGUUAUUACCAUGAAACCUUAUGCAACAGCUCCUGCUUCUACUGAUGUGGUAGACAAGAGCUGACCAACUUCAUGCUUAGAUUUCCAUAAUCCUGUUGGAGAUGAGCCUUAAGCACUGCAACCAUUCUCCCGUCUGUUUGGCUGGUCUAUUGAAGCAGCAACCAGGGCAUGGCAGAUUAGCAGCCAUGAUCUAGAUAUAAAGAGGAGAAAUCUAGGUCAAUUAAUUAAUUAUUUGGCAAGAGUUGACCUGCGUUGACUUCGUGAAAUCUGUUGAUGUUGGUCGGUUGUUGCUGUUUUCUAGUCAAGUGAUACCUAUUAGCUCAAGGUUUGAAUUAUUUUGGUUCACUUUUUUUUUUUGGUUUUUGCUUUACUUUUGUUGAUUCUACUUAAAAACACCAGCAUACUAGCUCAAUAGGUAGAGCAUUGUGCAAAUGCACAAAAAAUGUGGGUUCGAAUCCCACGUAGGUUAAUCUUUACUUUUUGUAUUGUUUUAUUUACUUUGGCAUUUUUGGGUUAAUAUUAUUAAGUUCUUAUCGGUUCAUGUUUU